This 497-nucleotide ribosomal RNA is filed under the name uncultured bacterium. Its description in RNAcentral is "partial 16S ribosomal RNA". It matches the Rfam family "Bacterial small subunit ribosomal RNA", at positions 28 to 507 of the family's 1533-position model. The record is from RNAcentral.
GAUGAACGCUGGCGGCGUGCCUAAUACAUGCAAGUCGAGCGAACAGACGAGGAGCUUGCUCCUCUGACGUUAGCGGCGGACGGGUGAGUAACACGUGGAUAACCUACCUAUAAGACUGGGAUAACUUCGGGAAACCGGAGCUAAUACCGGAUAAUAUAUUGAACCGCAUGGUUCAAUAGUGAAAGACGGUUUUGCUGUCACUUAUAGAUGGAUCCGCGCCGCAUUAGCUAGUUGGUAAGGUAACGGCUUACCAAGGCAACGAUGCGUAGCCGACCUGAGAGGGUGGUCGGCCACACUGGAACUGAGACACGGUCCAGACUCCUACGGGAGGCAGCAGUAGGGAAUCUUCCGCAAUGGGCGAAAGCCUGACGGAGCAACGCCGCGUGAGUGAUGAAGGUCUUCGGAUCGUAAAACUCUGUUAUUAGGGAAGAACAAAUGUGUAAGUAACUAUGCACGUCUUGACGGUACCUAACCAGAAAGCCACGGCUAACUACGUG